GUCCCAAUAGCGUAAUGGAUAGUGCGUUGGACUAAUAAUGCAAAGUUCAUGGGUUUGAAUCCCACUUGGGAUG
This is a non-coding RNA of Trichonephila clavata, 73 nucleotides long. NCBI's taxonomy places the organism in Eukaryota, Metazoa, Arthropoda, Arachnida, Araneae, Nephilidae. The record is from the annotation of a GenBank genome assembly.